AUGCGAUAAGUAAUGUGAAUUGCAGAAUUCAGUGAAUCAUCGAAUCUUUGAACGCACAUUGCGCCCCUUGGUAUUCCGGGGGGCAUGCCUGUUCGAGCGUCAUUAUCACCCCUCAAGCUCAGCUUGGUGUUGGGGCCUGCCCGUCACAGGGCAGCCCUUAAAAGCAGUGGCGGUGCCAUCUGGCUCUACGCGUAGUAAUACUUUUCGCGACAGAGUCCCGGUGGUGUCUUGCCAGAACCCCCCAUAUUUUAAUGAAUUGACCUCGGAUCAGGUAGGGAUACCCGCUGAACUUAA
This 294-nucleotide unclassified non-coding RNA is filed under the name uncultured Articulospora. RNAcentral's name for it is "partial contains 5.8S ribosomal RNA, internal transcribed spacer 2, and large subunit ribosomal RNA". The stretch from base 1 to 102 matches the Rfam family "5.8S ribosomal RNA", at positions 53 to 154 of the family's 154-position model. Lineage: Eukaryota; Fungi; Ascomycota; Leotiomycetes; Helotiales; Helotiaceae. The record is from RNAcentral.